This 908-nucleotide long non-coding RNA is filed under the name Homo sapiens (human). Its description in RNAcentral is "HSALNT0015539". The record is from RNAcentral. Lineage: Eukaryota; Metazoa; Chordata; Mammalia; Primates; Hominidae.
AAAAAAUAUGCUGGUUCAAGGCCUAAAGUAAAAUGAUCAAUAAUGUUUGUAGCAUUAAUGAAAUAUUUUCAAGAAAUGUGUCCAGGGGUAGCACUGGCUAUGUUGACGAGGCCUUUGGUAACUCAGAGAGCUCUUGGCCCUGAUGGGGACUUGCCCUUACGCUUUCUUUAUCAGGCUCUGAGUUCACACGGAGCCUCUGGCACUUCCCUGCUGUCUUGGGAGAAAGGAAACUGGUUGCCGCGGCAGGUUGUGGAAUCUGUUGCUGGAACCAGGCUGGAAGCCCACCUGCACGUCCAGAAGGCUAACCCAGGUGGGGAGGAUGCUGACACCAGCUCCAGGUGGAGUUGGUGGUCUUAAUUUGGAGAUGCAGGGGCAACCUGUGACCCUUUGAGGCAAGAGCCCUGCACCCAGCUGUCCCGUGCAGCCGUGGGCAGGGGCUGCACACGGAGGGGCAGGCGGGCCAGUUCAGGGUCCGUGCCAGGCCCUCCUCAGUGCCCUGUGAAGGCCUCCUGUCCUCCGUGCGGCUGGGCACCAGCACCAGGGAGUUUCUAUGGCAACCUUAGUGAUUAUUAAGGAACACUGUCAGUUUUAUGAACAUAUGCUCAAAUGAAAUUCUACUUUAGGAGGAAAGGAUUGGAACAGCAUGUCACAAGGCUGUUAAUUAACAGAGAGACCUUAUUGGAUGGAGAUCACAUCUGUUAAAUAGAAUACCUCAACUCUACGUUGUUUUCUUGGAGAUAAAUAAUAGUUUCAAGUUUUUGUUUGUUUGUUUUACCUAAUUACCUGAAAGCAAAUACCAAAGGCUGAUGUCUGUAUAUGGGGCAAAGGGUCAGUAUAUUUUUCAGUGUUUUUUUUUCUACCAGCUAUUUUGCAUUUAAAGUGAACAUUGUGUUUGGAAUAAAUACUCU